Molecule: ribosomal RNA, 429 nt
Filed under: Gemmatimonadota bacterium
Lineage: Bacteria; Pseudomonadati; Gemmatimonadota
Description: Gemmatimonadetes bacterium partial 16S ribosomal RNA
Rfam family: Bacterial small subunit ribosomal RNA
Source: RNAcentral
UAGGGAAUCUUCGGCAAUGGACGAAAGUCUGACCGAGCAACGCCGCGUGAGUGAAGAAGGUUUUCGGAUCGUAAAACUCUGUUGUUAGAGAAGAACAAGGACGUUAGUAACUGAACGUCCCCUGACGGUAUCUAACCAGAAAGCCACGGCUAACUACGUGCCAGCAGCCGCGGUAAUACGUAGGUGGCAAGCGUUGUCCGGAUUUAUUGGGCGUAAAGCGAGCGCAGGCGGUUUCUUAAGUCUGAUGUGAAAGCCCCCGGCUCAACCGGGGAGGGUCAUUGGAAACUGGGAGACUUGAGUGCAGAAGAGGCGAGUGGAAUUCCAUGUGUAGCGGUGAAAUGCGUAGAUAUAUGGAGGAACACCAGUGGCGAAGGCGGCUCUCUGGUCUGUAACUGACGCUGAGGCUCGAAAGCGUGGGGAGCAAACAGG